This 1179-nucleotide ribosomal RNA is filed under the name Triticum aestivum (bread wheat). RNAcentral's name for it is "partial small subunit ribosomal RNA". Lineage: Eukaryota; Viridiplantae; Streptophyta; Magnoliopsida; Poales; Poaceae. The record is from RNAcentral.
AUGUUAGUACACAACCUCAGUAUCAUCAACUGGAACGUCAGGGGGCUGAACUAUCCAAACAGAAGAGCCAUUGUUCAUGAGACCAUUGCUUCCUCCUCAUGUAAUGUCAUUUGCCUUGAAGAGUCGAAGCUAGAAUCGCUUGAUUGCUUCACAGCAUCCUUCCUUGGAGGCUCCAGGCUGCAAAGUUUUGCUUUCCGGCCUACCGUAGGUACUCGAGGGGGUAUUGUGUUGCUGUGGGAUGAUUCCUACAUCUCAGCGUCCAACAUUGUCCUAGGGGAGUUCCAUUUGUCUGCCACCAUUAAGAUUAUCAAUUCGGAUGUGGAGUUUUUGCUCACAAGCGUGUAUGGGCCCUUAGCCAACAACAGGAAGGAUGAUUUCUUUGCCGAGAUGGCCGCGCUUAAGCCGACUACCAAUGUUAAAUGGCUUGUCACUGGAGAUUUUAACCAGAUUUACCGGGCACGAGACAAGAACACGUGGAAUGCUAAUAUUUCGCGCAUCAACUAUUUUAGAGCCGCCCUAAAUUCUUGUGAGCUAAAAGAAAUCCGCCUCCAGAAUAGAAAGUUCACUUGGAGCAACGAGAGGAUUGAUCCAACUCUUUGCAAACUCGAUAGUUUCUUCUGCAACUCAGAUUGGGACCUGCUCUUUGAUAGUCACAUCCUAACCGCGCUCUCUUCCUCCCUCUCCAAUCAUUGCCCGCUCCUCCUCUCUAGUGACCGAGGACCCAAAUGACCGAGGAUUUUUUGUUUUGAGAAUUUCUGGACCAAGUUGCCGGGUUUUCAAUAGGUGGUCGCCGACUGCUGGGGAAAGCCUUUUGUGCACACUGAGCCAUGUCAAAAGCUGCAUGACAAGCUCUGUCGAACGGGUCUCCACCUCCGACGAUGGAGUAACACCUUAUUUUCCACCGCUAAGAUUCAACUACACAUGGCUCUUGAGGUCAUUCUCCGACUCGAUAUGGCCAUGGAUUCUCGAGCCCUCUCCCCGGAGGAGAAUGAUUUGAGGAGAAGGCUCAAGAGGAGGGUCAUUGGCCUGUCUAUCCUUGAGCGAUCGUGCAAAUGCCAAUGCUCUCGUAUCACCAACCUUAAGGAGGGAGACGCCAACACGAGAUAUUUUCAUCUCCGGGUCAAUGGUCGCAGGCGAAAGAACUUCAUUCAUCAUCUCCGGAAUGGUGCAGGAUGGUGA